This 151-nucleotide non-coding RNA is filed under the name Puccinia triticina 1-1 BBBD Race 1. Its description in RNAcentral is "Eukaryotic large subunit ribosomal RNA". It matches the Rfam family "Eukaryotic large subunit ribosomal RNA", at positions 2833 to 2984 of the family's 3401-position model. The record is from Rfam by way of RNAcentral. Lineage: Eukaryota; Fungi; Basidiomycota; Pucciniomycetes; Pucciniales; Pucciniaceae.
UUUUGUGACAGCCAAGUGUUCAUAGUGGCAUUGCUUUUUGAUCCUUUGGUGUCAGCUCUUCCUAUCAUUCCAAAGCAGAAUUAGGUAAGUGUUAGAUUGUUCACCCACUAAUAGGUGACAUGAGCUGGGUUUAGACAACAACAGGUAGGUA